This is a long non-coding RNA of Cavia porcellus (domestic guinea pig), 9442 nucleotides long. RefSeq lists it as uncharacterized. NCBI's taxonomy places the organism in Eukaryota, Metazoa, Chordata, Mammalia, Rodentia, Caviidae. The transcript is spliced from 2 exons. The record is from RefSeq and is a predicted model, not a curated record.
UACUUGGAGGAGCGACUGUACCCCAGUCUCGUGAGUCCCAUCGGAACCAGAAGUCCUAUGUGGCAGUCACAGUUUGGGGUACAAAGUGGGGUGGGGGGACAGCCGGUAGAAGGGGCUCCCUGGGGCUGGGCCGGUGCCGAGCCCCGUGUAUCCUAAACAUGAGAGCACUUACCGUUUUAAAUUUGCCAUCGAGUAGGGCAUAGGGGUACACGCCUGUAAUCCCAACACUCCAGAGGCUGAGGCGAGAGGAGCACCUCAUGUUUGAGGCCAGCCUGGACUACAUAGUGAAUCCAAGGCCAACCUGGACUACAGAGCAAGACCCUGUCUCAAAAACAAAACAGAAAAAUCAGCUCGCCUUCAGAGACAUGGGGUGCAGAGGUCACGGUGCAGCCGUCACCACCCCAGGUUUCUGGGCUAAGCUGUCUUUGGCUUGAAUCUUUCUGCAGGUCUGGGUUAGAGGCUGAGUCCAGCCUCUUCUGUUAGAGCAGCAUCACCCCAAGCUCCACAGCCAUUUCCCAGGCCAAGUAAAGAGCUGAUGGAUGUCUGAGUUUCCUGGUGCCAGCUCUGGCCCCACAGAGACCUGUCCAAGGUUAUCUGGAGAUGAACUGAUGCAAAGCAGAUGGAGCUGCCCUUGGCCAGGGGCGCAUCCAGGCCCCUCCAGCCAAAGGCAGGCACCAUGGCUGGCUGGCUCCAUCUUCCCAGGUCAAGGACAGUGUUCACCCUUCUGAUGUUCGGGUCCCUGCUCUCUCCCUCCCAGCUGCCAGGGCCUGAGCUCUUUAUCUCAGAGUGCAGUGGCACAGAAAUCUGUCUUCCCAGUGGGGACUAGACCUCAAGAUUUCACCGCUCGAGGGCAGGGGGAGUCCUGGGCCUGGUGGAAACAGCCUUAAUGCUUCUAUGUAUAAACCAGAAAGGGAUGGCAGCCUGCUACCAGCAGACAGGCUGGCAGUCAGGCAGUUACACUCAGCCUCCUCUUCACUGUGUGACCUAGGCAAAGUCUCCAAACCUUUCCAGCAUCAGCUUCAUUUUAAAACUAGAAAGCCUGAUUAGAUAACCGCGACAGAAUCACCAUGCCCACAUCUGCGGGCUCCAGAACAAAGCCUGCCCAGGGCAGGGCCCAGUUCCUCUUCACACGAAUGGAGUGCCCUGCUGUGAAUGUUCCCUGCUGUGCGUGUGCCCUGCUGUGCGUAUGCCUGGCGGUGCGUGUGCCCUGCUGUAUGUGUGCUUGUCUAAUGGCACAGUUGCUGUGCAUGUUGUUGACUGCUUGUUUGUUGACUUCCACAGUUUCUGAGUGGUGAUCUCUAUUUUAUGCUUUGAUCCCCCGCAGUUCUUGUCGCCCCAUUUCACGCAGCCAGGGUAGAGAGAGGAAGUGACUCGGCCCAGAUUCCCCUCCCCAAUUCAAAAAGCUGGAGCCCGGCUAGCAUCCCCUCCUCCCACGGGCUGGGCCUCUGCUGCUUCCCGCACAUGGCACAUCAUACAAUGCAUGAAUGUAUCCUAGGCCCGUGGAGGGACACUGUGUGCAUUUCAACAGCAGAUCCCGAGUGUGCCUGGAGAGGGGUCCAGGCCGCGCUGAGUCCUGUUGGUGGCUGCAGCUGGCACUGUCCCUCAGCCCUGCUCCCACUUGGCUGCCCUCCUCCUCCUCCUUGCUGGCCUGGGGCUGCAUCCUCACUCCGGAGCUCCUUCCCAACCCCUCUUCUCGGGGAAGCGAGUGUGUAGUGUGCCCAACCUGGCAGCUCCUGCCCACAGCUGUCAAGUCUCAUGUAGUGCAGCCAGUGCCUGGGGACAGGCCAUGCCCACGAUGCACCUGUGACCUGGGCCCUGACAGCAGCCCGAGUCAGGAGAAGACGCCAGGCCUGUGACAAGCCGUGAUGCAAGUUCAGUCAUGAAUGGGACCCAGACCUGAGGACAGGAGCCGAGGGGGUGGCAGCAGGACAAGUGGCAGCAGUGCAGGUGCCCUGUGCCCUCUGGGUGCUGUUCUGCUCUUCUGCUGACUUUAAACUAUGUGUGCAUGUGCAUGAAUGUGUGCAUGUGUACAUAUGCAUCUCUGUGUGUGUGUGUAUGCAUGCAUGAGUGCCACUGAAGGUUGAAUCUAGGCCUUCACACUGACCUACACCCCCAGCUUUUUCAUUGCUUUGAGACAGACUCACUCACUUGUCCCAGCUGGACUCUGACUUGGGUUCUAAUGGCUCAGUCUCCCAGAACACAGGGAUUACGGGCAUGCCCCAUUAGACCCAGCUGAGUGACCACCUUCUGUUUACCCUGCAUACUGAGGCUUGUAGUCCACCUUUGCCAUUCAUCCUUUUCUCCUGACAGCUGAUGGGCGCUGGUGUCCACUUCCUGUCAGCCCUCCCAGGCCCCUGGGCCCUGUGCAAGGCCGAGGCUCUAUUGCUUGUUCAUUUUGGGGUGAUCUCCACUCCAUGGCCUUCUGGGCCUGGGCUCCUCCAGCCGGGGGGAAACACUUUCCCUGUGUCUGCCAAGCGCCCCUCGGGUCACAGUCCAGGUUCACAGCCUUCCUCCUCUCAGCUGUCAGGACGACCCUUAGGAGGGAUCCUCUGGAGAAUCCUGCCCUCACACCUGAGUUAGGGUCCAGGAACUAAGCACUUCCCUGCGCAACUGAUGCCCAGCAUGGGAAGGCAUCCUCAGGUUUGGAGGGGUGCGGACGUGGAGCUUCCACCUUAUAGCAGACGCAGUGGGUCGGGCAGCUGUACCCUGAGACGUCUGCAGCUCUGGGACCUGGGAGCCCCAUUAGGGGCUGCAUCUCACCAUCCAGAGUCAGGAGAGCAGGACCACACAGGACACAUUGAGAGGCCAAGGUCGCUGUGACCCUGCUGACCCUGCAUGUGGGGGACACUGCUCAGUUCGGCUCAGCUCAGUGUGCCAGGGUCCCUGGUGGUCACUGUGCUGGGCAGCAGAGCUCCGAGCUGAACGUGCCUGUGAGACCGACCUCUGGAACCCCUGCCCUGCUGCCCAGAACUCUUUCAUUAUCUGAAAAUCUUAUCCUUUAUUUAUUUCAAAUUUAUAUUUCAUUCUUCUCCACCAAUAGAAUUCCAUCCAUGUAAAUCAUUCUAACCCUGAGAGACUUCCGUGGAUCUUCUACAUCUCUGCCACAGAAGUAUUUUAGGAAAUCAAAAUAGAUUUAAAAAUUUCUAUCAUUACAAACUCUAAAAUGAAGCUUUUCCAUCUGGACUAAGUGUUCAGUACAGUUACAGAACAAUGUUCCCUCGGUUCCCCAACUUAAUUCUUCCCAGGAUUCUGGCUCACAAACCAACUGGACGAGAACAGAAUCCAACCCAAUGGUCAGUUAGGGUCAACACUGACCUUAUAGGCAGUUCUCGUCCGGUUCGGUUUGCCACCAGAAUAGUGGAGGGAGUGCAGUUCACGGACCAAGGUACUGCUGUAUGCUGCAGUGCAUAAUUAACCAAUUAGCAGUCACCACAAGCUGGAGAUCAGAGCCCAGACAGGCCUAGGUGCUGCUGUGGUUCGGGGCAGGUGUGGCCUGGCGGGGAAGCAGGAGCAGAGGCCAGCAGGCCCUGCCCUGUGCGUCCUUGGGGUCAUGUGACCGACCAGGCGGGUUUCCACAGCCCAGAGCUGGAUUCCCCUUACACACAGGCUCGGAGCAGCCCUGCAGGCUUAAAGCACAGCCAGGAAAUGUCAACUAGUACUUUGAGCUGUUUCCAAAAUAUGUGCUAAGAGCGCACUGUCACCCAGUGUUAAAAUGCUCCACAUUCUUCCGCUGGCUCACAGCGAGAGUGUAUCAUCUUUUAGUCUUGCAAGAGGACCUGUGCUUUGGCUGUUAGGAUAAUUUGGUUUCUCAAUUGUUAGGAUAUGGAUCUGGAGUUUUUAUGAAGCCUCAACAGUGUUAGGAUUAAGAAAAUCUUUUUCCCAGAAACACUAAAUCUAUUGGAAGACAAAUUAGGUAGAAACCUUGGAGACAUAGGAGUAGGUAAAGAAUUCAUGAACAGGACUCAAACUGCACGGGAAAUACUUCCCAGAAUCAAUAACUGGGACCACUUCUUAUUAAAAAGUUUCUGCAUGUCAAAAGAAAUCUGCAGCAUAGUGAAAAGAAAACCCACAAACUGGGAAAAGAUUUUAGUGAACUCUCUCUCAGACAAGGGCCUCUUGUCUAAAACAUAUAAAGAAUUAAAGAAACUCAGACCUCCAAAAUUCAAAGAUCCAAUCCAAAAAUGGGCAUCUGAGAUGAAUACCCAAUUCUCAGAUGAAGAAAUGCAAAUGGCAAAUAAAUACAUGAAAAAAUGCUCAUCAUCAUUGGUCAUUAGAGAAAUGCAAAUUAAAACCACACUGAGAUACCAUCUCACUCCUGAAAGAAUGGCCAGGAUCAAGAAAACCGACAACAAAUGCUGGAGAGGCUGUGGGGAAAAGGGAACUCUCCUGCACUGCUGGUGGGAGUGUAGACUGGUACAGCCUUUGUGGAGAUCUGUCUGGAGAUUUCUCAAAAAGUUGGGACUGGAAGUCCCAUUUAUUCCAGCUAUUCCACUUCUAGGCAUAUUCCCAGAAGAACUGAAAGCAUCACACCACAGUGAUAUAUGUGCACCUAUGUUUAUAGCAGCACAAUUUGUAAUCGCCAGAUCAUGGAAACAACCCAAGUGUCCAUCAACUGAGGAAUGGAUAAAAAAGUUGUGGUAUUUCUAUACAAUGGAGUAUUAUUCAGCUAUAAAGAAGGAUCACAUUGAGAUAUUUAUCAAUAAAUGGGCGCAGCUUGAGACCAUACUCAUAAGUGAAAUAAAUCAAUCUCGCAUGUGUGAAUACCGAAUAGUUUCCCUAAUGUAAGUAAUGAUUCAAAUAUAUAAAAAUAUGUGGUAAUCAUGAUUCCCCAUUAGGUGGCCUUGGAGCCUUAUAAAGUUUUCACUCAUUAAUUAGAAAGGCUUUAUUCUGGGCUUCUUGAUUUGAAAAUAUUUGAAGCUAGAGUAUAUGAAGUUUUAUCCAAAUAUUUCAAGGAAAAAGACACUAUGGUAACUACUAUUAAGUCAGGUUAUAUGGUGGUGAAGUACUAGGUUGUUGAAACAGUCAUGCUGUGACCUCUAUUGUUAUAUUGUUAUGUCCUGUUUUAUCUCAAUCUCCCCCUUAUUGUUUUAAAAAAAUUAGUCAUUUCUUAUGUUUGUCUUAAUUAAAGAAAAAAUUCAAAUAAUUAGGAUAUAUAAAUAAUAACUCUUUUUGAUUUCCUAUUAACUUGUUUUGAAGUCCUGUAGUACUCCCACGAUCUUGUUUUGACUGAUUAGACUCUGUUCCAUUCUAUAUGGUAGUAUCAAGUUUGAAGACAUAGGCAACUACUUUGAAGACAAUAAGAUUCACUAAGAUACCCAUUCUGGUUUGACUAUUGUCUUCUUUGGAAGUCCUGUAAUGUUUACAAUGCCUAAGUUGUAUUGGUCUUGUUCUCUACUGUUUUGUCCAACUUUAUAAUAUCUAAUGAGAUAGACAAUUCUUUUUAAGGAAACAAGGGACAACGUUGAUAACCAUAGUUGAUAAACUUGUACUGUGUUCUACACCAUGUGCUAUGUCUAUCCUUGGUAUUGACUGACAGCUUUGUUUUGCCAUAUUUGACUGUAUUCUCCCCCCCCCCUCCCCAAAAGUAAUAAGCACUAAGGAGUAAUGAAAAAAAAAAAAAAAAAAAAAAAAAAAAAAGAAAAUCUUUUUCCUGGGGCUGGGGAUUUAGCUCAGCGGCAUAAGCGCCUGCCUUGCAAGCAGGCGGUCGUGAGUUCGAUCCCUGGUACCGAUAAAAAGGAAAAAGACAAAAAAAAAAAAAAAAAAAAAAAGGAAAAAAGAAAAUCUUUUUCCUGGGACUCAGUGCCAAUCCUGCUUAAUGAGGGUACACAGCAAAGAUUGUGGUGUCAGCACGUUCUUCUCUUCAUACACCUUUGGGAAUCUUUUUUGUUUUCGUCAAAUGUCAAAAUAACUAUUUUACAGUAUGCCAUGCUUUAAAUAUAUUUUUAUCAAUUCCUUGGUGCCGCGUCUCAAACCUGGCCUGCACAAGUGGCCAGUAGAGAAGUCAGGCCCCCUCAAUGGGAACCCAUGCUGAGCUCAGGGCCAUUCAGCCUCAGCCCAGGACUGUGUCUUCUCUCCUGGCAUCUUAACCUGUUGGGGUCUGUGCCUAGAUCCCCGAUUCCCCAAAUGGGUGCAUGGUGAAGGCUCAAAGGAAUGAGACAAGCGGCAUGGUCUUAGGGCUCCAGGUGGACUAAAAUCCUUGGCAGAGCUUGUAACUCUGCUAGCUGGUCAGCUGGCUGAUCCUGGAUAGCCCAUAUUUAAUCAGAACAAGCAGGCAGUUGAGUGGACAAUGGAGGAAACCUGAGCAGGAUCUUGGGAGGGAUUCAAGGACCCCUCAGAGUAACAGAGGAUGCUAAUUAAGAAAACUAUCCAGAAGUCUUCAGGAGGCCUCAGCUGUGGCCUGUCUUGCCUCUUGAGGUGUCUUCUUGUUCUCAGGUCCGCCAUGUCCAGGCCACACCACAGCCCUGCACAUCUAUUCAGCUUCAGCAGCUCCAACAGUAACCCUGGCCACUCUGCUCUUUGACUUUAUAGCUCGGGUCUUGCUGGACUAAGGAAGGACAAUUACUGUCUGGAAACUGAACAUCAGAAUGAAUUCAUUCAAUCUAAAAACUAAUUUCCUCUGAAGCUUUUAUUAUUCCAGGGUUACCAGGUGCUGUAGGACAUAGAAUCACACGGAUCCCUCCCUGCCAUGAUCAAGUGUCAGUGUGGCCACCGCACCUGUCUGGACCCCCCAGGAUGGUCACCCCCAGCCGGUGUUCCUUGAACAUCCCCAGGGAGAAGGCACAGCCGAGAAGAACGUCCCCAGAGGGCACAGACAUUGCUAGAAAAACUCCCAGGGACCCGUACCCACUGCCCAACUGCUUCCGGUUCCUCAAAAUGGAAGCUGGGCACAGCAGGUUAUGGGCGCCCCAGGCCAAGGGUUUCCUGUGAGACCUGGGCUCCCUCAGGGCUUGGGCUGCCGUAAGAGUGGACAGAUAUUUCGAAAGGAGUGGACAGGGAGAGGUAAGUGGUGUCGUAGCAGGUAGCAGCCCUGGAGAGGUUUGGCCUCGUUGGUUCCGCACUGCACUCAGCCCACCCUUAACGGUUAAGUCUGGGAGCUCUCAGCGCACAGAGUCCAGCAGCAGGCGAAAGGCCGAGGGAGACUGUGAGUGACCUCACUCCAUGACCCUCAGAGGACACACUCAGGCUGAGCGCCUAUAGUGGAGAGGUCAGUGAAGCCACUGAGGGUGGCCUAGUCUGUGUUGCGGGGCCGGGCCGUUUGAUGCUGUAGCCCUUGGGUUUUGUUCCCAGCCAGGCACAUUUACAAGGUCGCUUUGCUCCUUUAACCCUGGGUCUGCGCUGGCCUGUGGGGCCCUCCUCCUGCACGGGAGGGAAGUUUCGGGACAUGCCUGGUUCCCAGACUGCCGUUUUUUGUGGGUGCUGUCUCUGGCCCUGCAGGGCUCUUGCUGCAGACUGGGGUCCCAGGUCUCUGCCACAAGGCUCUAUCUGGUCCUAUGGGCAGAAAGGAGCCGGACCCCAUAUCCUGUGGAUGCACAGACCAUGAAGUAACUCUCAAGUGCCGGCUUCGGAUCUUCCCACUCUCUGUAGAUGGUGUGACUGAAACCAUGGUGAAUAUAUUUCCUUACCUUAAUUUAUUAUGGUAGAGCACACAUUACUGUGAGUCCUCAAAUUCCCUCUUCUUGCUCCAAACAUGUGUAUCCUAUUGUUUCUUUGUUGCUGUUGUUGAAAUUUUGAGUCAGGGUCUUGCCAAGUUUCUAAGCCGCCUAGGCUGGGCUUGGACCUGUGACCCUUCUGCCUCAACCCCAGAGUGCUAGGGUCAUCGGUGUGGCCACGCCUGGCCCUGCUUUUCUAACGUCACAACACAUCCUCCCUGUAGACGGGGUCUCCCAGGCAGCCCCUGCCUGGCAUGGCAUCCUCAUCUCUCUGCAAGGCCAGAAGCACAGCGAGGCUUCCUGACUCCACGGUGGGAUAAAGAAGCAGCCACCACAGCAAAAGCCCAGGCAGGAGCCUCAGCAGAGAGAUAAGUUGAUUCUGGAGCCUGGAGCCAAGGUGGGCAGAUGCUGUGUUAGCCAUGGCUGAGCCCCUGGCUGACAAAGCCCAUCAGCAAAGACCUCGGGGCUUCUGCACGUGCGGCCCGACAUGAGUGGUCCUGCAUUGCACAGGGCUUUGGAGUCCUCCCUUCCACCACACGCUAACAUGGCUUCUCCCUGCUCUGGCGCUCUGACCCCCAGAUGGACACGAACUGUGGCUCGGAUGCCCACCGCAGAUCGCAGGACCAGCUUGGAGACUGACGGGGGCCAGCGAGGGCCAUCAGGGUUCAUGUUUUCUGAAUUGGUUAAGACAAAUGGGAAAAUGUGGUCAGUGGUGGGUCCAUCAUGCUUUCUGUCCACGGAGAACACAGAGCCUGUGCAAGCGUGCAGGCACCAGAUCUCCAUGCACACACACAGCAGUUGUGUCAGGACACAGGGAUCAGAGCUGCCUGUGCACAGCAAGGUGCUGGAGACCCGGGCCACACAUGAGGCACGUGCUCUCUGGGCUGCACCGCAGCUCCAAAGUGAGUCUUUGAAUGCACAGGACACUUGUGGUGCACACCCAGGGGAACCAUGGCAAUGCCAUGUUGGUGCUUCUGGGACUGCACACACCGGCCAUGCCAGAGCAGUUCUGAUGGAAGCUCCAGAGCUGGGUGCUCAGGGACACCCCGCAGCCUGCACCAGGACGGCGAUCUGGACCUCAGGAGGCUCUUGUGGGCUCUCUAUGGUCAGCAGGCUCCAGGAGACUCAACUGGGUGUCUGUGUCAUCUUGGGGACCCUGGGAAACAACAUGGCUGAGAUUUCCAAACCCCACACUGGGACAAGAAGCAUCUGGGUGGACUCUCCUGGGUUUUGAGGGGGACUUUGUCCACAAUUCCUCAGGACUGAGGAACUCAUCACCCCCUGGGGAGACCACAGUGCCAACGGCAGCACCCACAGCAGGGGACAGACCAGCUUCCCCUGUGGUGGGCAUGUCCCAGGGCUGAUACCUCUGUGGGGCACCCCCACCUUGUCAGGGCUCCCCACGGCUCUCCGUGCUGACAGGUCUGGUGUGGAUGCAGCCACCACCCUGCAGAGAGAACCCAGAGCCAGCCCUGCACCCUUGGCGAUCACAGGCACAGUGUCACCCAGUCCGGAGUGCAAGUACAGGAACGGGCAACCCUGACGCCUCACAGAUCCCUGAGGUGAGAGACCUCACCUGGUCAUGUUGCCAGGACAGUGUCUUCUCGGUUGGGCCAGCAGGCGGCCAUCUGAAGGCAGUCCGAGCUGCCCACAUGGCUUCCUGAGGCUGGGCACCCACACGCUCUGUGCUCAGCCUGGGUCCAGGACAGGCCCAGAGUGUCAUGCACUGGGAUCCGGUCCUGCAGGUCCUGCCCAGGUAACCCUGCCCCUGGGAGAGCAAACAAGAUGGAAAA